AACAUACCGAACUUCUAAAAUCAUGAAGUCACGGUAUACAUUUAAAUGGUUCCGGUGAAGUUGCGGUGGAAAGUAACAUACCGGAUUUUAAAUAUAAAAAUAAAAAUAAAUAAAAAUAGUGUGAGAUACUAUUUUUAUUAGAUUUAGAGGAGUAAAACAUAAGUCAGAAAUGACUUGUGCUGAAAUCGGACUGAAAACAGAAGAUUUAGAAUUUUCUGUUGGAAACGGGACAGAUAAAUUAGCAAAAAAUGCACAGUCUCAGAAAAUUAUAAAAAUUGGAGGAUAAGUCAGAAAUAUUUUUAUGAGGCUAGAUUUAAAGUUUCAUAUUUUUCUGACACCCGUAGAGAGAGAAAUAGCAUCCGAAAGCUAUCUGAUAAAGAUUGCAGUUCGGCACAGUUUUCAGUGACCAAACGGGGUCGAAACUGAAAUAUUAAAAUUUCUUUGGACUUAUUAAGUAAAACCGAGCAUGCCUGUCAAAUUUGAGCUCAAUCGGAUAUUCAGAAGGGCUCCGGCGAAAAAUAAACUGCCCGAAGUGAAUAGUACGUAGUUGAGGGGCAAAAUGGUAAAAAGGGUUUAAAACCCUUUCUUCUUCUCCUUCCCCAACCGAGGCUGCCCCAAACCGCAUCACACACACACACAAACGCACACGCAUGGAAUGGAAAGGAGAAAGCUCUCUUUCUCUCUCUAAAUCUCUCCCAAAAAGAGAGAAAUUGGUGGAGAUUGAAGCUUGGCGAUGAAUCGUCUUCAUCUUCUUCAUCUUCUCCAUGGUUUGGAGCUAUUUUUGAGAUGAGCUUCUCGAUCCCUCUCAUGGUAGAUCUCCAAAGCUUUAUGUAUAAUUCAUAGAAAUAGAUUUAGUAGCAUUCCUAUAUGCUAAUUAGAAGUUCUAUUGCUUGAAUCCAAGGUUAUAUUGUGUAUUCUUGCAAUACUUGAAACCUAGGGUUCAAAAUGCAAAUUUUGCUACUAGUAGGGUUUGAUCUCAUUUGACCCUUCGUAAACCUAAUUGUUAGGUAAACAAACGCGUUGGCGAAGACGGUUCGGCGAUUCGUCGAGCCGUUGCGAAGUUAUUAAAGAAACGAACGUUAGGCUUCGUAUCCGCCUGCAGGGCCGAGGCGAUGUUGUAAAGUCGUGAAAAUGGAUUUGUAGCAUCGUGGCAUCAAACCGAAGACCUAUAAUUUUCGGGGCUGCGAAGCGGAGGACGGUUGAGGCACAACUGCGAAAUCGGGCCCAAACGGGUACCGGGCGCCGUGGGAGGCCGAUUGCAAGUGUCGACAAGCAAUCGGAACGCGAAUCGAGGUGGGUUGUGCUUACCGAAGCGACUAGGUCGUCUUUAUGUCUAAGCAAAUUAAGAAUU
This 1351-nucleotide long non-coding RNA is filed under the name Ananas comosus (pineapple). Its description in RNAcentral is "long non-coding RNA (ACOM_LNC040188)". The record is from RNAcentral. Lineage: Eukaryota; Viridiplantae; Streptophyta; Magnoliopsida; Poales; Bromeliaceae.